This 432-nucleotide ribosomal RNA is filed under the name uncultured bacterium. RNAcentral's name for it is "partial 16S ribosomal RNA". It matches the Rfam family "Bacterial small subunit ribosomal RNA", at positions 29 to 506 of the family's 1533-position model. The record is from RNAcentral.
AACGAACGCUGGCGGCAUGCCUAACACAUGCAAGUCGAACGAGACCUUCGGGUCUAGUGGCGCACGGGUGCGUAACGCGUGGGAACCUGCCCUUAGGUUCGGAAUAACUCCCCGAAAGGGGUGCUAAUACCGGAUAAUGUCUUCGGACCAAAGAUUUAUCGCCUUUGGAUGGGCCCGCGUUGGAUUAGCUAGUUGGUAGGGUAAAAGCCUACCAAGGCGACGAUCCAUAGCUGGUCUGAGAGGAUGAUCAGCCACACUGGGACUGAGACACGGCCCAGACUCCUACGGGAGGCAGCAGUGGGGAAUAUUGGACAAUGGGCGAAAGCCUGAUCCAGCAAGGCCGCGUGAGUGAUGAAGGCCUUAGGGUUGUAAAGCUCUUUUACCCGGGAUGAUAAUGACAGUACCGGGAGAAUAAGCUCCGGCUAACUCCGU